UGUGGGAGCUGGCUUGCCUGCGAAAGCAGUGGGUCAGCCAGCUGAUUCGUUUCUGACCCGCCGCUAUCGCAGGCAAGCCAGCUCCCACA
RNAcentral lists this non-coding RNA (89 nucleotides) under Pseudomonas tolaasii NCPPB 2192. Lineage: Bacteria; Pseudomonadati; Pseudomonadota; Gammaproteobacteria; Pseudomonadales; Pseudomonadaceae. The record is from RNAcentral.